RNAcentral lists this ribosomal RNA (500 nucleotides) under uncultured bacterium. RNAcentral describes it as "partial 16S ribosomal RNA". It matches the Rfam family "Bacterial small subunit ribosomal RNA", at positions 30 to 523 of the family's 1533-position model. The record is from RNAcentral.
AUUGAACGCUGGCGGCAUGCUUUACACAUGCAAGUCGAACGGUAACAGGGUGCUUGCACCGCUGACGAGUGGCGAACGGGUGAGUAAUGCGUCGGAACGCACCGAGUAAUGGGGGACAACGCAGCGAAAGCUGUGCUAAUACCGCAUACGCUCUGAGGAGGAAAGCGGGGGACCUUCGGGCCUCGCGUUAUUCGAGCGGCCGACGUCUGAUUAGCUAGUAGGUGAGGUAAGAGCUCACCUAGGCGACGAUCAGUAGCGGGUCUGAGAGGAUGAUCCGUCACACUGGGACUGAGACACGGCCCAGACUCCUACGGGAGGCAGCAGUGGGGAAUUUUGGACAAUGGGCGCAAGCCUGAUCCAGCCAUGCCGCGUGUCUGAAGAAGGCCUUCGGGUUGUAAAGGACUUUUGUCAGGGAGGAAAUCCUUAGCGCUAAUACCGUUGAGGGAUGACAGUACCUGAAGAAUAAGCACCGGCUAACUACGUGCCAGCCGCCGCCGUAA